UAAAUUAUCAACCUUCUUACACCAUGCGUUUUCUGGCGGGAAGACACUGCUCAGGGAAUCACGUUAUCUUCCGAUUCAUAUAAUGAAAUCUAGUUCAAGUCCUAGACAUAUCUAAUUAAAACGGGCCUUCCCGAACUUAUUAUCGUAUAGAUCUACUUAGUAAAUAGUAAAACUGUUCAUGUUUCCUUAAAACUAAGGAUUAAUUCCGGCCAAAUAUUUCACUCGGAAUUCUGUUUCCCCACUUUUGUUUACGAUCUGCCGGAAAACUGCAAAAAAAAAUUAAUUGACCCCUAAAAUAUACCUUAAUUUUAAGCAAAAUGCACUAAUUUUCACAAAAAAAAACAAAAAACACGCCAAAAUCUUUUACUCCCCCCCCCAAAAAAAAAUAAAUAAAAAAAAGCCGGGAGAACAGGCAGAGAAAGAAUUCUGUGGGAUUUAAGAUUAAAAAAAAAUUUUCCCCAGUGCGCCCCAACGGUAAAAAUAUAAAUUGUGAUUUUUAAUUAAUUCUAUUUAAUAUUCAUGUUAAAUUCCUGGUCUAGUUAUUAAAGUGCUAAUCAAUAGGACAUGACUUUUAAAAUUUAUUUUUAGUCUAUUUAAAUCGAUUAUUGCAAAUAUUUACCUGGUUGUCAAGAGUAUGUUUAUUGAUUGAUUGAUUGAUUGAUUGUUGGUUGCUUCACGUCCAGUGGCAAAUAUUUCAUGCAUAUUUAGGACUAGAACAAGUUCACAAUAAAUACAAUAUACGCCAUCUGGGAUGAUGGUCGGAGAAAUUUGGGCUGCCACCGGAAAAGGAGGGUAUAUUGGAUAGGGACAGACAUUUUGCCUAGCAACAGGCCACCUACGGACCCCUCAAAAGAGUUGUUGCAAGGGUUCUUAACGUGCAAAGCGCGUGGCACUCUCUUUACACGAGGCAUCGGAUUUAACGUCCCCUUCAAGAGUAUGUUUACAUGUGAUUGACAACGUCG
This 962-nucleotide long non-coding RNA is filed under the name Mytilus galloprovincialis (Mediterranean mussel). The record is from RNAcentral. Lineage: Eukaryota; Metazoa; Mollusca; Bivalvia; Mytilida; Mytilidae.